AGUGAACGCUGGCGGUAUGCCUAACACAUGCAAGUCGAACGGCAGCACAGUAAGAGCUUGCUCUUACGGGUGGCGAGUGGCGGACGGGUGAGGAAUACAUCGGAAUCUACUUUUUCGUGGGGGAUAACGUAGGGAAACUUACGCUAAUACCGCAUACGACCUACGGGUGAAAGCAGGGGAUCUUCGGACCUUGCGCGAUUCAAUGAGCCGAUGUCGGAUUAGCUAGUUGGCGGGGUAAAGGCCCACCAAGGCGACGAUCCGUAGCUGGUCUGAGAGGAUGAUCAGCCACACUGGAACUGAGACACGGUCCAGACUCCUACGGGAGGCAGCAGUGGGGAAUAUUGGACAAUGGGCGAAAGCCUGAUCCAGCCAUGCCGCGUGAGUGAAGAAGGCCUUCGGGUUGUAAAGCCCUUUUGUUGGGAAAGAAAAGCAGCAGGUUAAUACCCCGAUGUUCUGACGGUACCCAAAGAAUAAGCACCGGCUAACUUCGUG
Molecule: ribosomal RNA, 492 nt
Filed under: uncultured bacterium
Lineage: Bacteria
Description: partial 16S ribosomal RNA
Rfam family: Bacterial small subunit ribosomal RNA
Source: RNAcentral